RNAcentral lists this ribosomal RNA (492 nucleotides) under uncultured bacterium. Its description in RNAcentral is "partial 16S ribosomal RNA". It matches the Rfam family "Bacterial small subunit ribosomal RNA", at positions 29 to 507 of the family's 1533-position model. The record is from RNAcentral.
AGUGAACGCUGGCGGUAGGCCUAACACAUGCAAGUCGAACGGCAGCACAGUAAGAGCUUGCUCUUACGGGUGGCGAGUGGCGGACGGGUGAGGAAUACAUCGGAAUCUACUUUUUCGUGGGGGAUAACGUAGGGAAACUUACGCUAAUACCGCAUACGACCUACGGGUGAAAGCAGGGGAUCUUCGGACCUUGCGCGAUUGAAUGAGCCGAUGUCGGAUUAGCUAGUUGGCGGGGUAAAGGCCCACCAAGGCGACGAUCCGUAGCUGGUCUGAGAGGAUGAUCAGCCACACUGGAACUGAGACACGGUCCAGACUCCUACGGGAGGCAGCAGUGGGGAAAAUUGGACAAUGGGCGCAAGCCUGAUCCAGCCAUACCGCGUGGGUGAAGAAGGCCUUCGGGUUGUAAAGCCCUUUUGUUGGGAAAGAAAAUCAGCAGGUUAAUACCCCGCUGUUCUGACGGUACCCAAAGAAUAAGCACCGGCUAACUUCGUG